Molecule: unclassified non-coding RNA, 325 nt
Filed under: Hevea brasiliensis (rubber tree)
Lineage: Eukaryota; Viridiplantae; Streptophyta; Magnoliopsida; Malpighiales; Euphorbiaceae
Source: RNAcentral
GUUUGGUAAAAGGCGGCUUAUAAACACAAGUAUCAUUAAAAUGACUAUAAAAGAUACUAAUUUAUUUUAAAAUAAAUGAGAAUAUAUGAUGAAAUUUUAAAACUUAAUGAGGAUAACAAAGUAAAUCACUAGGUUAACCUAACUUAUGAGCAUAAUAUUUAUAAACACCAAAAUGAAAAGUUCCUCUCUCCCAGGUUUUUUUCUUUUUGCUUAUAGAAACUUAUAAGCUCUAAACAUCUUUUAAACAAAAUAGUCAGAAGUUAGUUUGACCAGCUUAUAAAUUAAACCAAAUACCAUCUACGAUGGUGAAAUAACACAUCAAAAU